GACGAACGCUGGCGGCGUGCUUAACACAUGCAAGUCGAACGGAAAGGCCCUGCUUUUGUGGGGUGCUCGAGUGGCUAACGGGUGAGUAACACGUGAGUAACCUGCCCUUGACUUUGGGAUAACUUCAGGAAACUGGGGCUAAUACCGGAUAGGAGCUCCUGCUGCAUGGUGGGGGUUGGAAAGUUUCGGCGGUUGGGGAUGGACUCGCGGCUUAUCAGCUUGUUGGUGGGGUAGUGGCUUACCAAGGCUUUGACGGGUAGCCGGCCUGAGAGGGUGACCGGGCACAUUGGGACUGAGAUACGGCCGAGAAUCCUACGGGAGGCAGAAGUGGGGAAUAUGGCAAAAAGGGCGGGAGCCUGAUGCAGCAAAGCCGCGUGCGGGAUGACGGCCUUCGGGUUGUAAACCGCUUUCGCCUGUGACGAAGAGUGAGUGACGGUAAUGGGUAAAGAAGCACAGGCUAACUACGUG
RNAcentral lists this ribosomal RNA (468 nucleotides) under uncultured bacterium. RNAcentral's name for it is "partial 16S ribosomal RNA". It matches the Rfam family "Bacterial small subunit ribosomal RNA", at positions 28 to 507 of the family's 1533-position model. The record is from RNAcentral.